GACGAACGCUGGCGGCGUGCUUAACACAUGCAAGUCGAACGGAAAGGCCCUGCUUGCAGGGUACUCGAGUGGCGAACGGGUGAGUAACACGUGGGUGAUCUGCCCUGCACUUCGGGAUAAGCCUGGGAAACUGGAACUAAUACCGGAUAGGAGCCAUUUUUAGUGUGAUGGUUGGAAAGUUUUUUCGGUGUAGGAUGAGCUCGCGGCCUAUCAGCCUGUUGGUGGGGUAAUGGCCUACCAAGGCGGCGACGGGUAGCCGGCCUGAGAGGGUGGACGGCCACAUUGGGACUGAGAUACGGCCCAGACUCCUACGGGAGGCAGCAGUGGGGAAUAUUGCACAAUGGGCGCAAGCCUGAUGCAGCGACGCCGCGUGGGGGAUGACGGCCUUCGGGUUGUAAACUCCUUUCGCUAGGGACGAAGCUUUUUGUGACGGUACCUAGAUAAGAAGCACCGGCUAACUACGUG
Molecule: ribosomal RNA, 465 nt
Filed under: uncultured bacterium
Lineage: Bacteria
Description: partial 16S ribosomal RNA
Rfam family: Bacterial small subunit ribosomal RNA
Source: RNAcentral